CAGUAAUUCAUUUAAGUGGCAUUCAAUUCAUAUUUCUACUGAUAAGACCAAACCUGAUAUUGUCGCCAGUGAAGGAACUAUCUCUGCAAAGCAUUCCAAUCCUUCCUAUUUCAUAAUGUUGAUAAAUUAAGAAUUACAAAUUAACCGUAAUCUUUGAGAUGCAACCUGCCAAUACAUAUCAAUGUUUGGAUUUUGAUUAUUUUCGGUGAAAUAAUCACAUUUUUUUUUAAAAACUCUUGCCAAGAUGGUGAAUUAUAAGCUGUU
This 264-nucleotide long non-coding RNA is filed under the name Lupinus angustifolius (narrow-leaved blue lupine). RNAcentral describes it as "long non-coding RNA (LANG_LNC000580)". Lineage: Eukaryota; Viridiplantae; Streptophyta; Magnoliopsida; Fabales; Fabaceae. The record is from RNAcentral.